AUUGAAUGCUGGCGGCAGGCCUAACACAUGCAAGUCGAACGAGUGGCGGACGGGUGAGUAAUGUCUGGGAAACUGCCUGAUGGAGGGGGAUAACUACUGGAAACGGGAGCUAAUACCGCAUACCAUCAGAUGUGCCCAGAUGGGAUUAGCUAGUAGGUGGGGUAACGGCUCACCUAGGCGACGAUCCCUAGCUGGUCUGAGAGGAUGACCAGCCACACUGGAACUGAGACAAGGUCCAGACGCGUACGGGAGGCAGCAGUGGGGAAUAUUGCACAAUGGGCGAAAGCCUGAUGCAGCCAUGCCGCGUGUGUGAAGAAGGCCUUCGGGUGGUAAAGCACUUUCAGCGGGGAGGCGUUACCCGCAGAAGAAGCACCGGCUAACUCCGUGCCAGCCGCCGCGGUAAUAC
This 406-nucleotide ribosomal RNA is filed under the name uncultured bacterium. RNAcentral's name for it is "partial 16S ribosomal RNA". It matches the Rfam family "Bacterial small subunit ribosomal RNA", at positions 29 to 526 of the family's 1533-position model. The record is from RNAcentral.